This is a non-coding RNA of Acanthosepion pharaonis, 114 nucleotides long. The record is from the annotation of a GenBank genome assembly. Lineage: Eukaryota; Metazoa; Mollusca; Cephalopoda; Sepiida; Sepiidae.
UUACGACCGUAUCACGUUGAAACAUCGGUUCCUAUAGGAUCACUGAAUUUAAGCAACGUCGAUCCUGGUCAGUACCUAAAUGGGUGACCGUUUGGGAAUACCAGGGGUUGUAAG